GUCCACGCCGUAAACGAUGGAUACUAGCUGUUGGGCGCAAGUUCAGUGGCUAAGCGAAAGUGAUAAGUAUCCCACCUGGGGGAGUACGUUCGCAAGAAUGAAACUCAAAGGAAUUGACGGGGGCCCCGCACAAGCGGUGGAGCAUGUGGUUUAAUUCGAUGAUACGCGAGGAACCUUACCAAGGCUUAAAUGUAGAUUGACCGAUUUGGAAACAGAUCUUUCGCAAGACAAUUUACAAGGUGCUGCAUUGUUGUCGU
This 257-nucleotide ribosomal RNA is filed under the name uncultured bacterium. RNAcentral's name for it is "partial 16S ribosomal RNA". It matches the Rfam family "Bacterial small subunit ribosomal RNA", at positions 793 to 1055 of the family's 1533-position model. The record is from RNAcentral.